This 443-nucleotide ribosomal RNA is filed under the name Fragilariales sp. endosymbiont of Amphistegina lessonii. Its description in RNAcentral is "SSU rRNA". It matches the Rfam family "Eukaryotic small subunit ribosomal RNA", at positions 1341 to 1804 of the family's 1831-position model. The record is from RNAcentral. Lineage: Eukaryota; Bacillariophyta; Fragilariophyceae; Fragilariales.
CCCCUGCCUGCUAAAUAGUUGGGCGAAUGAAUAUUCAUUGGCUACAGCUUCUUAGAGGGACGUGCGUUCUAUUAGACGCAGGAAGAUAGGGGCAAUAACAGGUCUGUGAUGCCCUUAGAUGUCCUGGGCCGCACGCGCGUUACACUGAUGCACUCAACGAGUCUACCUUGGCCGAGAGGCCUGGGAAAUCUUGUUAACUUGCAUCGUGAUAGGGAUAGAUUAUUGCAAUUAUUAAUCUUGAACGAGGAAUUCCUAGUAAACGCAGAUCAUCAAUCUGCAUUGAUUACGUCCCUGCCCUUUGUACACACCGCCCGUCGCACCUACCGAUUGAAUGGUCCGGUGAAGCCUCGGGAUUGCGAUGAGUUUCCUUCAUUGGGAGUUCGUCGCGAGAACCUGUCUAAACCUUAUCAUUUAGAGGAAGGUGAAGUCGUAACAAGGUUUCC